RNAcentral lists this ribosomal RNA (253 nucleotides) under uncultured bacterium. RNAcentral describes it as "partial 16S ribosomal RNA". It matches the Rfam family "Bacterial small subunit ribosomal RNA", at positions 524 to 776 of the family's 1533-position model. The record is from RNAcentral.
UACGUAGGGGGCAAGCGUUGUCCGGAUUUAUUGGGCGUAAAGCGCUCGCAGGUGGUUUGUCGCGUCGUGCGUGAAAGACCCCGGCUCAACUGGGGAGGGUCGUGCGAUACGGGCGAACUGGAGGCCAGUAGGGGGAUGCGGAAUUCCGGGUGUAGUGGUGGAAUGCGUAGAGAUCCGGAGGAACACCAGCGGCGAAGGCGGCAUCCUGGACUGGUCCUGACACUCAGGAGCGAAGGCGUGGGGAGCGAUCCGG